AUGCAUGGCCACCUUUCGACUCGCCUUCUCCAAGGAAUUUCAAGUGCAGCAAGGGAGGAAGGGCGUGUUCUUGGAACAGCCAGUGCACCCUACUACGUAAUAGAGAAAAGCCUACUUAAAAAACAGCUUCUGCGUACCGCUGGAGGCCUUGUAGUUACUGGCGUUGUAAUCUGGGCCUUUGAAAUGAUGGAGGACAUUGAUGUUCGUAAGUUUGAAGGUUUGAAAGAAGUGCCUAAGGAUUUGAUGAACACCAAGUUAAGUGAUGUAAAGGGGGUUGAUGAAGCCAAAGCUGAGCUUGAGAACAUAGUUCACUACCUACGAAAUCCCAGUAGAUUCAACCGCCUUGGUGGCAAGCUUCCAAAGGGCAUUUUGCUUGUGGGCCCACCUGGCACAGGGAAGACCAUGUUGGCAAGGGCUGUGGCUGGGGAAGCCGGCGUCCCUUUCUUUGCGUGCAGUGGCAGUGCUUUCGAGGAGACUUAUGUUGGUGUUGGUGCUAAGAGAGUGAGGGAGCUCUUCCGUGCAGCAAAGAAGCGAGCUCCUUGCAUAAUAUUCAUCGAUGAACUUGAUGCCGUUGGUGGGCGCAGAAACGCACAAGAACCAUCGUGGUCAAAGCAGACUCUGAACCAGCUGCUUGUUGAGAUGGAUGGCUUCAAGCAGAAUGAAGGGAUCAUCGUGAUCGCAGCAACCAACUUCGCUGAGUCGCUAGAUGACGCCCUUGUCAGGCCUGGGCGUUUUGACCGUCAAGUUCGUGUUCACCUUCCCGAUGUUGUGGGCCGAAAGCAGAUCUUGGAGGCUCACAUGUCAAAGGUGCAGAAAGGCAUUGGUGUGAAUGCGAUGACCAUCGCGAGGGGGACGCCUGGGUUCUCGGGUGCAGACCUUGCAAAUCUAGUGAAUGAAGCCGCUCUCAAGGCUUCCAGGGAUGGGGCAUAUGCUGUUAGGAUGGAUGACCUUGAGUACGCCAAGGACAAGAUCAUCAUGGGCACUGAGCGCAAGUCGGCGGCGAUAUCUGAUCAUUCCAAGAAGAUGACCGCGUACCACGAGGGUGGGCACGCCCUCGUUGCUAUCCUCACGGACGGUGCCGACCCUGUUCACAAGGCCACCAUUUUGCCCAGGGGAAAUGCUCUCGGCUUGGUGGCGCAGAUUCCGGGGGAAGACAGCGAGCUCGAAGUAUCGAGGAAGCAAAUGCUGGCGAGGCUGGAUGUCCUCAUGGGAGGGCGGGUGGCCGAGGAGCUUAUAUAUGGAGAAGCUGGGAUCACGACCGGUGCCUCAUCCGACCUAAACCAGGCGACCCAAUUGGCGAAAGACAUGGUCACCAAGUAUGGUAUGAGCAAGCGGGUCGGCCUCGUGACCUACAGCGACGACAACGCUGUUAGCGGUGGUGGCAAGACGAUGACCAUGAGCGGGCCAACGAUGACCCUGGUUGACGAGGAGGUGAAGGCAUUGUUGGACAACGCUUACAACAACGCGAAAACGAUUCUCACGAAGCACCGCAAGGAGCACCAAGCGGUAGCAAACUCCCUCCUGGAGCAUGGGACUCUCACUGGUGACCAGAUGAGGAAACUAGUAUUGAAGCGAGGUUUUAUGUCUUGA
Molecule: ribosomal RNA, 1590 nt
Filed under: Triticum aestivum (bread wheat)
Lineage: Eukaryota; Viridiplantae; Streptophyta; Magnoliopsida; Poales; Poaceae
Description: partial small subunit ribosomal RNA
Source: RNAcentral